UACGUAGGGGGCGAGCGUUGUCCGGAGUUACUGGGCGUAAAGCGCACGCAGGCGGUCUGCUAAGUUUGGAGUGACAGUUGGUGGCUUAACUGCCAAAGUGCUUCGAAAACUGACAGACUUGAGGGCUUCAGAGGGACACGGAAUUCCGGGUGGAGUGGUGAAAUGCGUAGAGAUCCGGAGGAACACCAAAGGCGAAGGCAGUGUCCUGGGGAGUACCUGACGCUCAGGUGC
RNAcentral lists this ribosomal RNA (231 nucleotides) under uncultured bacterium. RNAcentral describes it as "partial 16S ribosomal RNA". It matches the Rfam family "Bacterial small subunit ribosomal RNA", at positions 524 to 754 of the family's 1533-position model. The record is from RNAcentral.